RNAcentral lists this long non-coding RNA (375 nucleotides) under Cucumis sativus (cucumber). RNAcentral describes it as "long non-coding RNA (CSAT_LNC001138)". Lineage: Eukaryota; Viridiplantae; Streptophyta; Magnoliopsida; Cucurbitales; Cucurbitaceae. The record is from RNAcentral.
GCUGGAUGUUCCAAAAAAUUUGCCUCUCCUACGCUUCCUGGGGCUACGCCGUCUUCGCCGCCGACCUCCUCGGCCACGGACGCUCCGAUGGCCUCCGCUGUUACCUCGGCGACAUGGACAAAAUCGCCGCCGCAUCCCUCUCCUUCUUCCUCCACACCCGCCGUAGCGAGCCCUACCGCCACCUUCCAGCGUUCCUCUUCGGCGAAUCCAUGGGCUGCGCCGCCACCAUGCUCAUGUACUUGCAGUCCGAUCCAGACACCUGGACCGGCCUCAUCUUUUCAGCUCCCCUCUUCGUCAUACCAGAAAAUAUGAAACCGAGUAAGCUCCGACUCUUCCUAUACGGCCUUCUCUUCGGCGUCGCAGACACUUGGGCCG